Spea bombifrons (plains spadefoot toad) is the source of this 216-nucleotide small nucleolar RNA. RefSeq annotates it as small nucleolar RNA U3. The record is from RefSeq and is a predicted model, not a curated record. The transcript has a single exon. NCBI's taxonomy places the organism in Eukaryota, Metazoa, Chordata, Amphibia, Anura, Pelobatidae.
AAGAUUAUACUUUCAGGGAUUGUUUCUAUAGUGCCCGACCGGAGAAACGUGCUCGGAAGUGGUCAGGCUCGGUAACCAUGAUGAAGAGCUCACGUGCGUUCCCCUGAGCGCGAAGCGAGUGUCAAGCGCUGUGGCUAACGGCUGCUUGUUGCUUUUGAUGACUGUUCCUUCCUUCGCGAGAGCAGGUUAGGAGGGGGAAUGUGCAAGCUGAGUGGU